GACGAACGCUGGCGGCGUGCUUAACACAUGCAAGUCGAACGCUGAAGCUCAGCUUUUGCUGGGUGGAUGAGUGGCGAACGGGUGAGUAACACGUGAGUAACCCGCCCCCUUCUUUGGGAUAACGCCCGGAAACGGGUGCUAAUACUGGAUAUUCACUGGUCUUCGCAUGGGGGUUGGUGGAAAGGGUUUUUCUGGUGGGGGAUGGGCUCGCGGCCUAUCAGCUUGUUGGUGGGGUGAUGGCCUACCAAGGCUUUGACGGGUAGCCGGCCUGAGAGGGUGACCGGUAACAUUGGGACUGAGAUACGGCCCAGACUCCUACGGGAGGCAGCAGUGGGGAAUAUUGCACAAUGGGCGCAAGCCUGAUGCAGCGACGCCGCGUGAGGGAUGGAGGCCUUCGGGUUGUGAACCUCUUUCGCUCAUGGUCAAGCCGCAACAAUGGUUGUGGUGAGGGUAGUGGGUAAAGAAGCGCCGGCUAACUACGUG
Molecule: ribosomal RNA, 483 nt
Filed under: uncultured bacterium
Lineage: Bacteria
Description: partial 16S ribosomal RNA
Rfam family: Bacterial small subunit ribosomal RNA
Source: RNAcentral